GUCGGGAGGAGGCGGCGGGAGACGCACUGAGGGUCUCCCAGCGCCCGUCCUGCGCCCCCGGCCCCUUUUCCUUGCCGGUCAACGCCUCCGGCCGUCCAGAGCGCCUUUGUCUCCUUCCUAGAGCCACUGGCUGAUGGGGCAGCGGGGGACGCGGACCCCGGCGCUGCGGUCCGCCAGGAGCGGCGCGGCCGGUGUGUCCCUGCUGCGAGAGCCACGGCAGCCGUGAGUUCCCAAGGUCACAGAGGCCUCGGUGAGCCGUGAGACCGCUCCUCACCACCCACACCUGGCCCUCGGCCCCGAGCGAAAAGUUGGUGCUGGUUCACGUGGGCCGAUGAGGUCCGGUGUCCAGCGGGUGAGAAAGAGCAGCGCCUUUCGUGUGGUCCCUGCCAGCUGGGUGAGCUGGAGACCUGUCUGGACAGCUGGAACUGUAGUGCAUGCAGAUCCCACUGUGAAUGCAGCAGAGGUAGAGCAGCAGACAAGAGUCACUCCACUUGUUUGCACUAGUGCAGCCACAGCAAAGAUGAAAGUCCCAGUGUUACAGCUUUUACCCAGGUUGCUGAAUUGUUGGCAUAUUUGGAAGAGAUGGAUGUCUCCAGUGACAUAUGGAUGUGCUGCACACAUUGCCUGUGCCCUGUGUAAGGCUGAGUGCUCAGAAGAAGCUCGGACAGCUUCCUUGCCCUGCCUGGCUCAGGAAAUGUGGACACAGAGCCAUGAGGAGUGAGAAGGACAUUGGGGUGAUGGAGAGAAAAGAGGACUGACCCACAUGGUGUGCAGGGAUAAGAGGUGCUGGCUACCUGUCGGUGUAAUGCUCUCAGGACUGUUCACAUAAAAUAACCCUGGGGCACCUUGUCUUGCUGAGGAAGCCAAAAGCCUUCUGAUCCCACAAACCAUGCCCUUUGCCAGCUCUGACCUUUGCUUACACCCUGAACUGCCAUCUGUGAGGACAGUUAUAUCCCAGACUGUCCUCCCUAUCUUAAAACAGCUGCUCCAUUUUAAAGAGAUUUUGGAAGCAUUUUUUUGUUCCUGCGUGUUGCACCCCAGAGGAGGAAGGUGUAACAAUUCUUUAUUUACAUUAGGCAACAAUUCCUAAAAAUUAUCAGUGCUCAAUUAUUGAAGCAGGGGGUUGCUUCUCAGAAUCACCAUUUGGCAAGCACCCAUGAAGAAGAGCUACCAGAGCUACCGGAAAGGGAUGGAGGAGAAGUACUGGACUACUUUGCUUGCUGUGGUAGGAACACACACUGGUGACGGAUUUUGAUCUGACUGGUAUGCAAGGAUGUCUACAUGUGUCUGAACCUGUGACAAUGACGUGGCUUCUGCCACCAGCCACAGCUGACAGCACUCUGGUGGGGGUGGAGGAUCAGGCUCAGUGAAUUCUUGUGUCUUUGCUGGAGAAGAGUUGUGGCUGAGAAGAAAUCAUUGUUAUGCCAACAAGAAUACUUGUUGAGUACAAACAGUUUCUGCAGUAGAGAAAAGUUUUUGCAGCCUCCCUGAAUUUUUAACAUAGCUGCAGCUUUUGCUCUUAAUAUAACAAGGCUUCCUAAAGUACAUGUUCUAAGUCACUAGCAGCUCAUUGGAAAUGCCAAAUAUCAAAUAAUUAAUAACAAAAUUGACUCCUAAAUUAAAGAAAAAUUUAGUGGUCCAGAAAUACUAUCAUUAAUCAUUCUGUAGAUCAAUGGAAAUCAAAAAUCAUGAAUUAGUCCUGUCCUGUUCCUCCCCUAAGCCACAGCUUAAAAAUCAGGAGUCAUAUUUUUGUGGUUAAAUCAGUCUGAAUUAUUUUGUUCGCUUUGUGGUAACUGGAGUCUGUAUCUCAUAGCUGGAUCAUGUUUUCAAUUAUGAUUUAAAGUUCCCACAACAUCUGCAGAUUUCCUGUUUAAGGAAAGCCAAGAUUCUCCCACACCUGACCCACUGUGGGUAAAGAAAUGAAUUUUGUUACUUUGCUAAAAGUGCAGGUGUUGGCAACUGUGAAUACAGGUGGUAUGUUUCAAAGAGGACAAUCAUCUACAGAAUCAAGUAAUACACUGGACUGACUGUGAAAUUUUAUCUUUACAUGCCUUUGAGUUACUUUUUUGUUUCCUAAAGCAUCUUGCCAGAUAAAUACUCUUUUUUUCCCCUUUGCAUUUUGGAUUUUGCCUCUUAAAUAUUGCUUCUACUGCUGUGCUUCAGGGACAAUUUUAAGUUCUUGGUACACCACAAUCCCCCAGGACUAAAGAUGAAGCUAAAAAUUCUGAUACAAAAGCAGAAAAGAGCCUGAGAGGUUUAUAAAAAGGCCAUAGGAAACCCAGCUUUAGUUGCAGCAGUAUUGUUAAAUUCAAGCCUCAAACAGAAGAAACAGCCUUUAGCAGAUGAUGCUCUAAUCUCCCUUUGGCAUCUCCCUGGUAGUUGCCAAUGCAGCCAUGUGCCCAUCUGAGAGCAAAUUUUCUAGGACAGCACUGGGAGAUUCAGAAGUGCCAUGCUGUGCCAGCCCACCUGGCUGCAAGCUGCACAGAAAUCCCUGGUUUGUCAGUCCAGGAGCCCAAAGUGACUGAAAGACCUUUCCAGAGCCACAAGCAUGAGAGCAUAAGCGAUUCCUAUGUCUGGAGAAGUGCAUUAAGAGAGAGAUGUUGAGGGAGCUGAGGUGCUAAGGAGUGAACUUCUGGGAAUGCUCUGCACAUGAAAACACUCCAUAAAUCACUUAUAAAUGGGACUGAGCUCUCAUCCAUCCAUCAGGAGCCUUCCUCGCUCCAAAAUUUGGGCUGCUCCCUAUCCUGUCUCAUAUAGGAGGUGAUAUUGAUGAGCAGAAAAAGGUAUGUUUGCUUCAAAUGUUGUUUUUGGAUAGAGAGCAUGGGUUGUGAAGGUGCAGAAGGAAACACAGGAACUGCCAUCACUGACAAAGAAAUGCAGAUUUCCAAACCAUCUCUGCCCAGCCCCAGGUGGGAGGUUUUGUUUCUGUGUUGGCUUGGAAUUUGUAAUUGGUCUUGUCAAAAGAUGAUGCCUGUGUUGGAAAUUAAUAUUUAGCAACUUCUGGUUGACUGAUUGAAGUUUUUUUGGUGGGAGUUAUUGGUUCUUUGAACAAAUUUUGAAAAAGGGCCCUCAUAGAAAUACAACCAUAUCAAAUUACAGGGAGGUGCUCUUGUGCCUUGCACUUGAGCCUUGCCAAGAGAGGUCAAAAAUGUGCACCUACAUUACUGAAAUGUUGCCGGGGUUUCCCCUGCAGACUGAAAAUACCUGCAAAGACAGAAGGUAUUUCAAAAGAUGAUGAUUUUAAUUAAGUCUGGGUCAGAGCCGCAUCUUUGAUAAUAACAGCACCCCGACCAGCAAAUGCCCUGAGCCUGAUUUACAGCACCAUCAGCAGGCUCUGCCUUGUGCCUCUUGUGGAGAGGCUAAGGGAGGGCACAAGGGGAGAAAACAGCAUU
Molecule: long non-coding RNA, 3392 nt
Organism: Poecile atricapillus (Black-capped chickadee)
Lineage: Eukaryota; Metazoa; Chordata; Aves; Passeriformes; Paridae
Exons: 9
Source: RefSeq, a predicted model, not a curated record